ACGGAAGGCAGCAGUGGGGAAUAUUGGGCAAUGGGCGAAAGCCUGACCCAGCGACGCCGCGUGUAGGAAGAAGGCCUUCGGGUUGUAAACUUCUGUAGACAGGGACGAAGAAACGACGGUACCUGUAAAGUAAGCCACGGCUAACUACGUGCCAGCAGCCGCGGUAAUACGUAGGUGGCGAGCGUUAUCCGGAUUUACUGGGUGUAAAGGGUGUGUAGGCGGAGGAUCAAGUCAGAUGUGAAAAUUAUGGGCUCAACUCAUAACUUGCAUUUGAAACUGAUCUCCUUGAGUGUGUGAGAGGUAAAUGGAAUUCCCAGUGUAGCGGUGAAAUGCGUAGAUAUUGGGAGGAACACCAGUGGCGAAGGCGGGUUACUGGACCACAACUGACGCUGAGACACGAAAGCGUGGGGAGCAAACAGGAUUAGAUACCCUGGUA
This is a ribosomal RNA of 436 nucleotides. It matches the Rfam family "Bacterial small subunit ribosomal RNA", at positions 341 to 792 of the family's 1533-position model.